GUUAAUGUUAAAAAAUUAUCCAUUUCUAUGUUUUGAAAAUAAAAAGCUUAAGUAAAAAAUAAGGAAAAUAAAAAAAGGAUGGGGGCUUAGCACUCCCAAAUCUAAAAGUAUAAUAUAAGCAGCAGUUCUCAAAACCAUUUGCUCUUAGCUAACAGAGUGGUGGAUCAGAGGAAUAGAUUCCAGUGAUCAAGACCUAUAGUUAUGCAAUAUUUGAUAAAGCCCCAAACUCCAGCUUCUGGUAUAAAAACUCACUAUUUCAUAAUAAAUCUCAAGGAAAAGUAGAAAAUCACAUCCUAGAAACUUGGCUGCAACCCAUGGUGUGUGCAUCUCACACCCCAUGCCAAAGUAUGGUCAAAAUGGAAAAGAUCUCCACUGAAACCAGAAGUGGUUUGAGAGCCCUGCCCUGGGGCCUCUGAGAAAAAGUCUAUCUGGCAGGGGAGGCAGGCUUCCUGGGAGCAGGUGUUCCAAGAGAGGGCUGCGGGGGAGGGGUGGUCCUCAGCACCAUCAGGCUUUCCUUGGGUACAUAUUGGCCAAGCUGACAAACCGGCCUAAUGAUUGCUGCCAGCUUGUGUCCAGGGAGGACGCAGGUUGGACACAGGGAGUGGAGGCUGUUCUUUCCCGAGGGAGCAGCUUGUUGCACGUCAAAGAGAACUGGAUGCUGGCUUGCCUGUGGGAGUGGAACUUGGCCAGAGGGAGUUGAAAGCCCCCAGAGGGGGGAAAGAUGAUGUGCCCUCUCCUUAUUUAGCAUGGGGCUGUCCCUGGGAACUCUGAGAAGGUGUCAGGGAGCAUGGAGAGCAGGGCUGUCAUGCCUAAGGACGACUUUCUGUGUGGGGCCACGGCUUGCAGUCAAUCUCGAAUUUCCCCUGCACACUUCCUGGUGAAGUCCUGGCUGUCAGGAUUGCCCUUUCUUUGCAGUUCUGUCAUCCCACUUUCCCCACAGCUGGGUCUGGGGAAAUUGUGGUCCUAUGGCUACUUUGUGCACCUUCUUCAAAAUGUCUGGAGCAGCUGAAUAAUCACACACAUGUUGAGGACAGGAAUCCUAUCAAGAAAAGGGGG
This 1056-nucleotide long non-coding RNA is filed under the name Sarcophilus harrisii (Tasmanian devil). RNAcentral's name for it is "lncRNA (ENSSHAG00000025158.1)". Lineage: Eukaryota; Metazoa; Chordata; Mammalia; Dasyuromorphia; Dasyuridae. The record is from RNAcentral.